Molecule: long non-coding RNA, 329 nt
Organism: Salvelinus fontinalis (brook trout)
Lineage: Eukaryota; Metazoa; Chordata; Actinopteri; Salmoniformes; Salmonidae
Exons: 5
Source: RefSeq, a predicted model, not a curated record
CCUCUGAAGCGUCUUAAGAAGAAAAAGAAGAAGACUUCCUCAAUUUCUCACUAGCAAAAUGGUUCCCCCAGUUGCAGUCUCGCCUGUCAUCAAGACGGCCAGGUGGUCAUUCUUGCUCAUUGGCAUGUUUUAUGGCAAACAAAGAUAUGACUAUCUGAAGCCAAGAGCAGAGAAAGAGAGGCUUGUUGAGGAGGCAGAGAAGAAGAUCCGAGAGGAGCAAGAGAAAAUUGCCAAAGCACUUGCAGAAGCCUCCGAAGACACCAUCCUGAAAUGAACUGCCUAUGGAUUGUGUUUGAAGAAUAAUGAAAUAAAAAACAUAAGUAAUUUAA